GGGAAGUAUGCUAAUUGGUAUAGCGAUCUAACUGUAAAUUAGAUGACAGAGUCACUAUAGGUUCGAGUCCUAUACUUCUCA
Molecule: transfer RNA, 81 nt
Filed under: Microconidiobolus nodosus
Lineage: Eukaryota; Fungi; Entomophthoromycota; Entomophthoromycetes; Entomophthorales; Conidiobolaceae
Description: Conidiobolus nodosus tRNA-Tyr
Rfam family: tRNA
About the family: Transfer RNA (tRNA) molecules are approximately 80 nucleotides in length.
Source: RNAcentral